This 72-nucleotide transfer RNA is filed under the name Candidatus Sericytochromatia bacterium. RNAcentral's name for it is "tRNA-Gln". It matches the Rfam family "tRNA". From Rfam's summary of the family: Transfer RNA (tRNA) molecules are approximately 80 nucleotides in length. The record is from RNAcentral. Lineage: Bacteria; Bacillati; Candidatus Sericytochromatia.
AGGGGUGUCGCCAAGUGGUAAGGCAUCGGGUUCUGAUUCCGACAUUCCGGGGUUCGAAUCCCUGCACCCCUG